UAGAGUAGGGAUAGUCUCGUUCAGGUAAAGUCUACUAUCCAUUGUCCUCGGCGUCUCCGCACAGUCGUCCAACUGUCCAGACUCCAAUAGAAGCACUUUCCAAAUAUGCCAACAAUUCCAGACGAUCUGAAGAACUUGGAUAUUUCCUGCGAAAACAUCUUUGUGAAAACUUGCAAAAACUUUGAAGAAGCUACAAAGAGAGACACUGUGGAUUGUUGUUUUGGUGAAAAUCAUUUUGAAAAGGACAAGAUACCAACAGCUGAAAUAGACAAUG
Molecule: long non-coding RNA, 274 nt
Organism: Magallana angulata
Lineage: Eukaryota; Metazoa; Mollusca; Bivalvia; Ostreida; Ostreidae
Exons: 3
Source: RefSeq, a predicted model, not a curated record